Molecule: non-coding RNA, 126 nt
Filed under: Rhodococcus triatomae
Lineage: Bacteria; Bacillati; Actinomycetota; Actinomycetes; Mycobacteriales; Nocardiaceae
Source: RNAcentral
AUAGGGUGGACCCGCUCCUGCGAGGGAAUCCGGUGCGAAUCCGGAGCUGACGCGCAGCGGUGACGGGUCUCCCGCGUGACGGGGAGCUCCCGAAGUCCGAAUGCUCGCGGGAGACGGUGGCACCGC